CGUAGGCAGCGAGCGUUGUUCGGAGUUACUGGGCGUAAAGCGUGCGUAGGCGGUUUUGUAAGUUUGGUGUGAAAUCUCCCGGCUCAACUGGGAGGGUGCGCCGAAAACUGCAAGGCUGGAGUGUGGGAGAGGUAGGCGGAAUUCCUGGUGUAGCGGUGAAAUGCGUAGAUAUCAGGAGGAACACCUGUGGUGUAGACGGCUUACUGGACCAUGACUGACGCUGAGGCACGAAAGCGUGGGGAGCAAACAGGAUUAGAUACCCUGGUAGUCCACGCCCUAAACGAUGCAUACUUGGUGUGGGUAAUUCAUUUUAUCCGUGCCGGAGCUAACGCGUUAAGUAUGCCGCCUGGGGAGUACGGUCGCAAGGCUG
RNAcentral lists this ribosomal RNA (370 nucleotides) under uncultured organism. Its description in RNAcentral is "bacterial SSU rRNA". It matches the Rfam family "Bacterial small subunit ribosomal RNA", at positions 526 to 896 of the family's 1533-position model. The record is from RNAcentral.